This 485-nucleotide long non-coding RNA is filed under the name Homo sapiens (human). RNAcentral describes it as "HSALNT0290600". The record is from RNAcentral. Lineage: Eukaryota; Metazoa; Chordata; Mammalia; Primates; Hominidae.
UUUUGUUUUUCAACUCAGAAAAGUGAAUUUUCAACAGAAAGCUAUAGAAAGGCUGGAAUCUCUUCUAAUGUAUAAGAAUAUAUACUUUUUUUUUUUUUGCAGGGGAGGGGAGAAUUAAGACAGCUUCUAUAAAUUAAAAACCAAGAAGCUUUCCAACAAUCUAAGACAAGAUUCUAGAAGGAGUGGAAUAUAGAGUUCUGUAGGCUAGACUGAGGUGUCUUGCUAAAAUCUGACAAUGGCAGUCUUUUUUCAACCAUGGAGAAAAAUGCAGCCAUGGGACUAAUUUCUGCCACGGGGACAUGAACAGAAGUGACGUGUGUCAUCAUCCAGGCCUGGAUCCCUGAGUCACUGUAUGGAGGAAAACUACCCAUUGACCAAUAACAACUUCAUUGGACUAAGACAGUUCUUCUAUGAUGAGGUCUCUGUAAGACUUUUAGUUCUCAGGCAUCUAAGAGUGAAGAAAAGAACCAUAUGCUUCAUGUUUU